RNAcentral lists this ribosomal RNA (212 nucleotides) under uncultured bacterium. Its description in RNAcentral is "partial 16S ribosomal RNA". It matches the Rfam family "Bacterial small subunit ribosomal RNA", at positions 524 to 735 of the family's 1533-position model. The record is from RNAcentral.
UACGGGGGGGGCAAGCGUUGUUCGGAAUUACUGGGCGUAAAGGGCUCGUAGGCGGCCAACUAAGUCAUACGUGAAAUCCCUCGGCUUAACCGGGGAACUGCGUCUGAUACUGGAUGGCUUGAGUUCGGGAGAGGGAUGCGGAAUUCCAGGUGUAGCGGUGAAAUGCGUAGAUAUCUGGAGGAACACCGGUGGCGAAGGCGACUCACUGGCCC